Molecule: ribosomal RNA, 243 nt
Filed under: uncultured bacterium
Lineage: Bacteria
Description: partial 16S ribosomal RNA
Rfam family: Bacterial small subunit ribosomal RNA
Source: RNAcentral
GUCCACGCCGUAAACGAUGUCUACUAGCCGUUGGGACUCUUGAAGUCUUAGUGGCGCAGCUAACGCACUAAGUAGACCGCCUGGGGAGUACGGCCGCAAGGUUAAAACUCAAAUGAAUUGACGGGGGCCCGCACAAGCGGUGGAGCAUGUGGUUUAAUUCGAUGCAACGCGAAGAACCUUACCAGGCCUUGACAUCCUGAGAACUUUCUAGAGAUAGAUCGGUGCCUUCGGGAAUUCAGUGAC